CGUAGGAGGCGAGCGUUAUCCGGAUUUACUGGGCGUAAAGCGCGUGCAGGUGGCUUGGUAAGUUAGGCGUGAAAUCUCCCGGCUCAACUGGGAGAGGUCGUCUAAUACUACCGGGCUAGAGAGCAGAAGAGGAAGAUGGAGUUCCCGGUGUAGUGGUGAAAUGCGUAGAUAUCGGGAGGAACACCAGUGGCGAAGGCGAUCUUCUGGUCUGUUUCUGACACUCAGACGCGACAGCUAGGGUAGUAAACGGGAUUAGAGACCCCGGUAAUCCUAGCCGUAAACGAUGUGAACUUGGCGUUGGUGGGUUAAACUCCAUCAGUGCCGAAGCAAACGCGAUAAGUUCACCGCCUGGGGACUACGGCCGCAAGGUUA
Molecule: ribosomal RNA, 372 nt
Filed under: uncultured organism
Description: bacterial SSU rRNA
Rfam family: Bacterial small subunit ribosomal RNA
Source: RNAcentral